GAUUGAAUAUUUCAGAAGUGAACUCUGGAAGAAAAAGGGAUUCGAUUUGUUCAAGAGGGUCAGUACACGCAAGCUCUUAGUCUGUUUACAGAGGCCAUCAAAUGUGACCCGAAAGACUACAGGUUUUUUGGAAAUCGCUCCUACUGCUAC
Long non-coding RNA from Sinocyclocheilus anshuiensis, 150 nucleotides. RefSeq lists it as uncharacterized. The transcript is spliced from 3 exons. Lineage: Eukaryota; Metazoa; Chordata; Actinopteri; Cypriniformes; Cyprinidae. The record is from RefSeq and is a predicted model, not a curated record.